GACGAACGCUGGCGGCGUGCUUAACACAUGCAAGUCGAACGGAAAGGCCCUGCUUGCAGGGUACUCGAGUGGCGAACGGGUGAGUAACACGUGGGUGAUCUGCCCUGCACUUCGGGAUAAGCUUGGGAAACUGGGUCUAAUACCGGAUAGGACCGCACUUUAGUGUGUGUGGUGGAAAGUCUUUUCGGUGUAGGAUGAGCUCGCGGCCUAUCAGCUUGUUGGUGGGGUAAUGGCCUACCAAGGCGGCGACGGGUAGCCGGCCUGAGAGGGUGUACGGCCACAUUGGGACUGAGAUACGGCCCAGACUCCUACGGGAGGCAGCAGUGGGGAAUAUUGCACAAUGGGCGCAAGCCUGAUGCAGCGACGCCGCGUGGGGGAUGAAGGCCUUCGGGUUGUAAACUCCUUUCGCUAGGGACGAAGCUUUUUGUGACGGUACCUAGAUAAGAAGCACCGGCUAACUACGU
RNAcentral lists this ribosomal RNA (464 nucleotides) under uncultured bacterium. Its description in RNAcentral is "partial 16S ribosomal RNA". It matches the Rfam family "Bacterial small subunit ribosomal RNA", at positions 28 to 506 of the family's 1533-position model. The record is from RNAcentral.